GAUGAACGCUGGCGGCGUGCCUAAUACAUGCAAGUCGAGCGAACGGACGAGAAGCUUGCUUCUCUGAUGUUAGCGGCGGACGGGUGAGUAACACGUGGAUAACCUACCUAUAAGACUGGGAUAACUUCGGGAAACCGGAGCUAAGACAGGAUAAUAUUUUGAACCGCAUGGUUCAAAAGUGAAAGACGGACUUGCUGUCACUUAUAGAUGGAUCCGCGCUGCAUUAGCUAGUUGGUAAGGUAACGGCUUACCAAGGCAACGAUGCAUAGCCGACCUGAGAGGGUGAUUGGCCACACGGGAACUGAGGCACGGCCCACACACUUACACGAGGCAGCAGUAGAGACUCUUCCGCAAUGGGCGAAUGCCUAACGGAGCAACGUCGCGUGAGUGAUGAAGGUCUUCGGAUCGUAAAACUCUGUUAUUAUGGAAGAACAUAUGUUUAAGUAACUGUGCACAUCUUGACGGUACCUAAUCAGAAAGCCACGGCUAACUACGUG
RNAcentral lists this ribosomal RNA (497 nucleotides) under uncultured bacterium. Its description in RNAcentral is "partial 16S ribosomal RNA". It matches the Rfam family "Bacterial small subunit ribosomal RNA", at positions 28 to 507 of the family's 1533-position model. The record is from RNAcentral.